AAACCAACAGGGAUUGCCUCAGUAGCGGCGAGUGAAGCGGCAAGAGCUCAGAUUUGAAAUCGUGUUUCGGCACGAGUUGUAAAUUGCAGGUUGGAGUCUUUGCGGACGUGCGUGUCCAAGUCCCUUGGAACAGGGCGCCAUUGAGGGUGAGAGCCCCGUGGGAUGCGUGCCGAAGCUUUAAGACCCUUCUGACGAGUCGAGUUGUUUGGGAAUGCAGCUCUAAGUGGGUGGUAAAUUCCAUCUAAGGCUAAAUAUUGGCGAGAGACCGAUAGCGAACAAGUACUGUGAAGGAAAGAUGAAAAGCACUUUGAAAAGAGAGUGAAACAGCACGUGAAAUUGUUGAAAGGGAAGGGUAUUGGGCUCGACAUGGGAUUUGCGCAUCGCUGCUCCUUGUGGGCGGCGCUCUGGGCUUUUCCUGGGCCAGCAUCGGUUUUCGCCGCAGGAUAAGGGGCGCUGGAACGUGGCUCUUCGGAGUGUUAUAGCCAGUGUCAGAUGCUGCGUGUGGGGACCGAGGGCUGCGACAUCUGUCUCGGAUGCUGGCACAACGGCGCAAUACCGC
RNAcentral lists this ribosomal RNA (559 nucleotides) under Pichia sp. NRRL Y-12824. RNAcentral describes it as "eukaryotic LSU rRNA". It matches the Rfam family "Eukaryotic large subunit ribosomal RNA", at positions 62 to 648 of the family's 3401-position model. Lineage: Eukaryota; Fungi; Ascomycota; Pichiomycetes; Pichiales; Pichiaceae. The record is from RNAcentral.